UACAGAGGUCUCAAGCGUUGUUCGGAUUCAUUGGGCGUAAAGGGUGCGUAGGUGGCGUCGUAAGUCGGGUGUGAAAUUUCGGAGCUUAACUCCGAAACUGCAUUCGAUACUGCGGUGCUUGAGGACUGGGGAGGAGACUGGGAAUUUACGGUGUAGCAGUGAAAUGCGUAGAGAUCGUAAGGAACACCAGUGGCGAAGGCGGCUCUCUGGACAGGAACUGACGCUGAGACGCGAAAGCGUGGGUAGCAAACAGG
This 254-nucleotide ribosomal RNA is filed under the name uncultured bacterium. Its description in RNAcentral is "partial 16S ribosomal RNA". It matches the Rfam family "Bacterial small subunit ribosomal RNA", at positions 524 to 776 of the family's 1533-position model. The record is from RNAcentral.